UGGGGAAUAUUGCACAAUGGGGGAAACCCUGAUGCAGCGACGCCGCGUGAACGAAGAAGGUAUUCGUAUCGUAAAGUUCUGUCCUAUGGGAAGAUAAUGACAGUACCAUAGAAGAAAGCUCCGGCUAAAUACGUGCCAGCAGCCGCGGUAAUACGUAUGGAGCGAGCGUUGUCCGGAAUUAUUGGGCGUAAAGGGUACGCAGGCGGUUUAAUAAGUCGAAUGUUAAAGAUCGGGGCUCAACCCCGUAAAGCAUUGGAAACUGAUAAACUUGAGUAGUGGAGAGGAAAGUGGAAUUCCUAGUGUAGUGGUGAAAUACGUAGAUAUUAGGAGGAAUACCAGUAGCGAAGGCGACUUUCUGGACACAAACUGACGCUGAGGUACGAAAGCGUGGGGAGCAAUCAGG
RNAcentral lists this ribosomal RNA (403 nucleotides) under bacterium. Its description in RNAcentral is "partial 16S ribosomal RNA". It matches the Rfam family "Bacterial small subunit ribosomal RNA", at positions 355 to 776 of the family's 1533-position model. The record is from RNAcentral.